CGGGGUGUGGCGCAGUUGGCUAGCGCGCGUGGUUUGGGACCACGAGGCCCUGGGUUCAAGUCCCAGCACCCCGACCA
This 77-nucleotide transfer RNA is filed under the name Candidatus Peregrinibacteria bacterium. Its description in RNAcentral is "tRNA-Pro". It matches the Rfam family "tRNA". Rfam says of the family: Transfer RNA (tRNA) molecules are approximately 80 nucleotides in length. The record is from RNAcentral. Lineage: Bacteria; Candidatus Peregrinibacteriota.